AAAAAUGAAAAUGUCCACCUCUUCCAGAAAACACUGAUUUUUCCACUGGAAAGAAGGAAACAGGAGUGCCUCACUUGCUGAUUCUUUUGGGGAAAGAUGACACCGUGAAAGAUGCGAGACUGUUGGCUUCCGUGGUGAUGAGGUCCUUUCAGGAGCCCUGGACAAGCUCCCCUUUCACCAGUGGCAGAGAGAAAUGCUUUCCCCUGCCUGUGUGAAAUUUGCCUCUCCAUCCACCAAACCCACCUUUGAUGGUGAUGUUGUUCCUUGCUGCUUUCCAGUCCACCUGCAAUUAGAGAACUGCCUCCACCUGGCAAGUAUCAUGUAACUGGUUUUGGCUGCACACAUUUGCUAAUCAAAGUGUUUGGUAAUUGUUCGUCUUCUCCUCUAGCUGGUAGGCUGUUCAUUGAAGUCUUCAGGCUUUCUGGCUACUGCUGCCUGGAGAUUGGAAGAGAGAGACAUUUAGGAAGGCUGGGACCCCAAAGUUAUCAUGAAGCUUUAAUCUCACAAAUGGGAGCUUCCUGCUCAUGAAGACCAAAGAACACAGCACCAAGAUGAAAGUCCAUCUCUGUGGCUGGCUUGCUUUCACUGUUCUCAUGAUGUGCACAUCCCAUGGGACCCGGGGGACACCAAGGGAGCUGCAUAGGAACAAAGAGCUCUGCAGGCAGGUUCUGGCCAGCACCACCAGCAGCGUCGCUGUGCUUGAAUCCCAAGAAGCGAAGGUGCCAUCCUUGUUGUGUUCGUGCCACUGAUACAAGUUGAGACACCAAUCCUGAUCUGCCUCUCUGUGUUGGAUCUCUUUGUGAAAACAACUGGUAAGUUUGGGUACAGAAGGUUUGCCCUCUGUGCUUGAUGCAUGGUCAGCUGUUCCUGCCUGGGAAGAGGCUUGUGGGAGGCUGUGUGGUAUUCCCU
This 909-nucleotide long non-coding RNA is filed under the name Calidris pugnax (ruff). Its description in RNAcentral is "lncRNA (ENSCPUG00000005181.1)". Lineage: Eukaryota; Metazoa; Chordata; Aves; Charadriiformes; Scolopacidae. The record is from RNAcentral.